UGGGGAAUUUUGGACAAUGGACGCAAGUCUGAUCCAGCCAUGCCGCGUGCGGGAAGAAGGCCUUCGGGUUGUAAACCGCUUUUGUCAGGGAAGAAACGAGUUUCUCUAAUACAAAGACUUAAUGACGGUACCUGAAGAAUAAGCACCGGCUAACUACGUGCCAGCAGCCGCGGUAAUACGUAGGGUGCGAGCGUCAAUCGGAAUUACUGGGCGUAAAGCGUGCGCAGGCGGUUUUGUAAGACAGAGGUGAAAUCCCCGGGCUCAACCUGGGAAUUGCCUUUGUGACUGCAAGGCUUGAGUGCGGCAGAGGGGGAUGGAACUCCGCGUGUAGCAGUGAAAUGCGUAGAUAUGCGGAGGAACACCGAUGGCGAAGGCAAUCCCCUGGGCCUGCACUGACGCUCAUGCACGAAAGCGUGGGGAGCAAACG
Molecule: ribosomal RNA, 427 nt
Filed under: uncultured bacterium
Lineage: Bacteria
Description: bacterial SSU rRNA
Rfam family: Bacterial small subunit ribosomal RNA
Source: RNAcentral